RNAcentral lists this ribosomal RNA (1437 nucleotides) under uncultured bacterium. RNAcentral's name for it is "bacterial SSU rRNA". It matches the Rfam family "Bacterial small subunit ribosomal RNA". The record is from RNAcentral.
CAUGUCUAAUACAUGCAAGUCGAACGAAGUUAAAUGAGCUUGCUCAUGUAGCUUAGUGGCGAACGGGUGAGUAACACGUAGUUAACCUAGCCAAUGGAGAGGGACAACUUUUGGAAACGAAAGCUAAUACCUCAUAGGUGGAAACAUUAAAGGUCCGAGUGGAUCACCAUUGGAAGGGACUGCGUCCGAUUAGCUAGUUGGUGUGGUAAGAGCAUACCAAGGCGACGAUCGGUAGCCGGACUGAGAGGUUGAACGGCCACACUGGGACUGAGACACGGCCCAGACUCCUACGGGAGGCAGCAGUAGAGAAUCUUGCACAAUGGGCGAAAGCCUGAUGCAGCAAUGCCGCGUGAGUGAAGAAGUUUUUCGGAAUGUAAAACUCUGUUAUAUGGGAAGAAUGAUAUGAAGAGGAAAUGCUUUAUAUGUGACGGUACCAUAUGAGAAAGGGACGGCUAACUACGUGCCAGCAGCCGCGGUAAUACGUAGGUCCCGAGCGUUAUCCGGAAUUAUUGGGCGUAAAGGGCGCGCAGGUGGUUACUUAAGUCUGGUGUGAAAUUUUUAGGCUUAACCUAAAAAGGUCAUUGGAAACUGAGUAACUUGAGAGCAGGAGAGGUAAGUGGAAUUCCUAGUGUAGCGGUGAAAUGCGUAGAGAUUAGGAGGAACACCAGUGGCGAAGGCGGCUUACUGGACUGCAUCUGACACUGAGGCGCGAAAGCGUGGGUAGCAAACAGGAUUAGAUACCCUGGUAGUCCACGCCGUAAACGAUGAGUGCUAAGUGUUGCGAGUCAAAUCGCAGUGCUGAAGUUAACGCAAUAAGCACUCCGCCUGGGGAGUACGACCGCAAGGUUGAAACUCAAACGAAUUGACGGGGACCCGCACAAGCGGUGGAGCAUGUGGUUUAAUUCGAAGCAACGCGAAGAACCUUACCAGGGUUUGACAUACCAAUGAUAUUUCUAGAGAUAGAGAGUUCCUUCGGGACAUUGGAUACAGGUGGUGCAUGGUUGUCGUCAGCUCGUGUCGUGAGAUGUUGGGUUAAGUCCCGCAACGAGCGCAACCCUUAUCGUUAGUUGCCAUCGUUAAGUUGGGUACUUUAACGAGACUGCCAGUGAUAAACUGGAGGAAGGCGGGGAUGAGGUCAAAUCAUCAUGCCCCUUAUACCCUGGGCUACACACGUGCUACAAUGGUCGGUACAAAGAGAAGCGAAGCUGUGAAGUGAAGCAAACCUCAUAAAGCCGAUUUCAGUUCGGAUUGUAGUCUGCAACUCGACUACAUGAAGAUGGAAUCGCUAGUAAUCGUGGAUCAGCAUGCCACGGUGAAUACGUUCCCGGGUCUUGUACACACCGCCCGUCACACCACGAGAGUUUAUAACACCCGAAGUCAGUGGGCUAACCUCGCAAGAGGGGGCAGCUGCCUAAGGUGGGAUAGAUGAUUGGGGUG